RNAcentral lists this unclassified non-coding RNA (329 nucleotides) under soil metagenome. RNAcentral describes it as "partial contains 5.8S ribosomal RNA, internal transcribed spacer 2, and large subunit ribosomal RNA". The stretch from base 1 to 120 matches the Rfam family "5.8S ribosomal RNA", at positions 35 to 154 of the family's 154-position model. The record is from RNAcentral.
GAUGAAGAACGUAGCGAAAUGCGAUAAGUAAUGUGAAUUGCAGAAUUCAGUGAAUCAUCGAAUCUUUGAACGCACAUUGCGCCCCCUGGUAUUCCGGGGGGCAUGCCUGUCCGAGCGUCAUUACAACCCUCAAGCUCAGCUUGGUGUUGGGCCCCGCCGCCCCGGCGGGCCCUAAAGUCAGUGGCGGUGCCGUCCGGCUCCGAGGGUAGUAAUUCUUCUCGCUCUGGAGGUCCGGUCGUGUGCUCGCCAGCAACCCCCAAUUUUUUUCAGGUUGACCUCGGAUCAGGUAGGGAUACCCGCUGAACUUAAGCAUAUCAAUAAGCGGAGGA